RNAcentral lists this long non-coding RNA (296 nucleotides) under Felis catus (domestic cat). RNAcentral describes it as "lncRNA (ENSFCAG00000050601.1)". Lineage: Eukaryota; Metazoa; Chordata; Mammalia; Carnivora; Felidae. The record is from RNAcentral.
GAAAUAGUGAAUGGUUGCAGAGAAGCAAAUCUGAGAGUUUUCAGACAAAAGGAAUGACUGUUUCCAAGAAGAAAAAAAAAGAGGUUGAGGAGCACUUUUUUUGGAGAAGAGAUAUCACAGGACUUACCUUAGCAGUGCAAUCACCAACACAGACAAGAGAAGAGAAAUCACUGGAUUGGGGAGAGUUUGGAGAGGAGAGUCAAAUGAGUGAUGAAGUCAAUUUUAGUUUGAAUUCAAAGAAACCGAACAAAAAUGAAUGGGAAAAAAAUUGCAUCAUGUGCUUCAUGACCUCUUAA